UGGGGAAUAUUGCACAAUGGGGGAAACCCUGAUGCAGCGACGCCGCGUGAGCGAAGAAGUAUUUCGGUAUGUAAAGCUCUAUCAGCAGGGAAGAAGAAAUGACGGUACCUGACUAAGAAGCACCGGCCAAAUACGUGCCAGCAGCCGCGGUAAUACGUAUGGUGCAAGCGUUAUCCGGAUUUACUGGGUGUAAAGGGAGCGCAGGCGGUACGGCAAGUCUGAUGUGAAAGCCCGGGGCUCAACCCCGGUACUGCAUUGGAAACUGCCGGACUAGAGUGUCGGAGGAGUAAGUGGAAUUCCUAGUGUGGCGGUGAAAUGCGUAGAUAUUAGGAGGAACACCAGUGGCGAAGGCGGCUUACUGGACGAUGACUGACGCUGAGGCUCGAAAGCGUGGGGAGCAAACAGG
RNAcentral lists this ribosomal RNA (406 nucleotides) under bacterium. Its description in RNAcentral is "partial 16S ribosomal RNA". It matches the Rfam family "Bacterial small subunit ribosomal RNA", at positions 355 to 776 of the family's 1533-position model. The record is from RNAcentral.